This 446-nucleotide ribosomal RNA is filed under the name uncultured bacterium. RNAcentral's name for it is "bacterial SSU rRNA". It matches the Rfam family "Bacterial small subunit ribosomal RNA", at positions 330 to 792 of the family's 1533-position model. The record is from RNAcentral.
GCCAGACUCCUACGGGAGGCAGCAGUGGGGGAUAUUGCACAAUGGGGGGAACCCUGAUGCAGCGACGCCGCGUGGGUGAAGGAGCGUUUCGGCGCGUAAAGCCCUAUCGGCAGGGAAGAAGGAGGACGGUACCUGACUAAGAAGCCCCGGCUAACUACGUGCCAGCAGCCGCGGUAAUACGUAGGGGGCAAGCGUUAUCCGGAUUUACUGGGUGUAAAGGGGGCGCAGACGGCAGCGCAAGCCAGGAGUGAACGCCCGGGGCCCAACCCCGGGACUGCUCUUGGAACUGCGCGGCUGGAGUGCAGGAGGGGCAGGCGGAAUUCCUGGUGUAGCGGUGAAAUGCGUAGAUAUCAGGAGGAACACCGGUGGCGAAGGCGGCCUGCUGGACUGCGACUGACGUUGAGGCCCGAAAGCGUGGGGAGCAAACAGGAUUAGAUACCCUGGUA